AUCGUUAUGCGCCUUCGUAUGUUUCUCCUGCUUAUCACCUUCUUGAAGGCUUCCCAUUCAUUCAGGAACCGCCUUCUGGUGAUUUGCAAGAACGCGUACUUAUUCGCCACCAUGAUUAUGACCAGUGUUUCCAGUCCGUUCAGUUGUUGCAGUGGAAUAAGAUCGGAAGAGCGGUUCAGCAGGAAUGCCGAGACC
RNAcentral lists this ribosomal RNA (195 nucleotides) under uncultured prokaryote. RNAcentral's name for it is "partial 16S ribosomal RNA". The record is from RNAcentral.